Amphiprion ocellaris (clown anemonefish) is the source of this 4201-nucleotide long non-coding RNA. Lineage: Eukaryota; Metazoa; Chordata; Actinopteri; Pomacentridae. The record is from Ensembl.
UAUAUAUAUAUAUAUAUAUAUAUAUAUAUAUAUAUAUAUAUAUAUAUAUAUAUAUAUAUAUAUAUGAAUUAGACUGUGCAUGAACAGUGCUUUCAUUUAAAUUAAAAGUCUGUUGGUUUCUGAGUUUACUGGCAGGGAGUCACUUGACAGGGACAUGCUAACUACUUAAAGCCAUAUUCUCUUAUCUUUAUUCUACACUUUGUAAGAGUAGUCUGUUGUUUGGCUUGAAGUGUUUGCAUUUGGUAGACAUAUUGGGUCUUCUCCAGCCUCUGAAUGCAAACAUACGCGGCCAGCUUCAGGCCAGGCUGCAUCACUGAAUGCUCGUCUAACCCGGCGGUGUCAGUCAUUUGUCGGACGUCUUGUAUGUUGCCCGUGUAGUUGUGGAAACAUUGUCUUGCCUUUUCAGAUUAUAGCUAACCAUUGUCACUCGUCCACCAAUUAUGAUGUAUUAAAAAUGUCAUUUUGAAUGAAGACGCACCACGUGACGCACAAAAGCAGCGAUCUACGUAACAUGUUUGUGUCAUAGAAGUGCAUGUCAUGUUUAGAAACUGAAGCUGUCGCCGUAACGCAGCUAGUUGAUUUAGUUGUUGAAACCGCACUACCACCGUUCUCCUCUAACACUCUGCUCCUCAGUGAGAUCCCCUUGAUGUGUGUGUCCACGGCACAGGGAAUGUUUUGAUUUGUGGUCUGUUUUGUCAGCUGUUUGGCAAACGGUUGAAUCAGUCGGAACAGAAUCUCUGCAUGGGGGCCGAGCAGCUCACAGUUGAGGUCUACACACAUAAAAAGCCAGGGCUUUGUAAGGACUUAAGAAGCCAUUUCCCAUCCAAAUAUUACUUGUUGUGAGUUACAUACACACACACACACAUGCUAGGCUAGUUGGGUUUACUUUUCCAGAAUGUUUAAGCUGUUGAGAAUCACAGUGCAAUCCGCUCGUUUUGGUUUUUAGUUUGCUAACUGGAAUUUUUGAGAGGUUCUUGUUACUUGACCAACAUCUUUCUUCGUAACAGCCUUUACUAACUGACAGGUUAUAUUUUUCUUUAUGCAAAAUGUCAAGGGCUUUUGGCACUCCAUCCACAGUAACCCGAAAUGACCCAGAUUUCAGUUGUGUUGCCUUAAAUGAAUGAUUUAAUAAAUAAUGGACUAGUAGAUGAUGCUCUGAGUGUUCCUCUGAACCAUGGUUUGCUCUUUUCCAGCUUCGUGUUCACACCACAGUGUGGGAAAGGGCCUCUGCUGGUGGUUCCAUCAGUUUGAAUGCUAGUGCUAAUGCUUUCUUAGACAUAUAGGGGAUCCUGUAUGACUCCUUCUAGCCCAGCUGGUUCCACACAUAGACUUCAUAAAGGCAUUCUCUUAAAAAGAUGUUGGGGACUGUGGUGUUGUUCUCUUAAUGUUUAAACCAUGGGAAGACAGCUUUAUGCCUCCAGAAAAAUGUAUCCUUAUCUGCAAAGUACACUACAUAUGGGGGAGGAACAGUCAGGCAUUCGUUUCCUGGUCCAUUUAAUACAGCACAACCUGAAUUUUUCUGCUGCAAAACCAAAUUGACCAUGCUCUUUUACAUAUAUGUCUUUGUAUACACAUGCAAUGUAUUUAGUUGCAUGUAUGUAUGAGUAUGAGACCUAUGGUUUUAUCCAUGAUAUGCUUGAUCUAUGGCUUAGACACUCUUAUUAACCAUUAAGAGAUUUAAAAGACAAAUAUGGUGCUAUCGGACCUCAUAUUGGGGUGGUCACAGCUCGUGACUGGUCAUGCGGACUCAUUGAUCAUAUCAUACUUAAAGAUGCUGCAUGUAAGAUUUUCUCUUUGGUGCGUCGCUGUGAAAUGACUCAUGACGGCACAUUUUAUUUCCGAAGGAUCACCAUUAUAAGCAGUAGCCCCAAGAGAAGAGCCUCUGUUCAGUCCAGUGUGGUUGAUUUUGGGAUCAAUUCCCUAUGGGAAAACCAGACAGAUAUUCAGACUCAUGUAACGAAGAAGGAAAAGUUCCAGCAGCAACACGUCACCGGGGCUAUGGAAUGUACUGUUAAUGGUCGUUAUUACAGUUCGGCAGUGAUGCAUUAAGAGAAAAUCCUACAUGUGUUACCUUUACUAUCCUUGAUAUAUGCAGAUCUGUUCAACAGGUGUUUUUUUUUUUUCCUACCAGUGCAAGUCAACACCCCUGCAGGUUUGAAAGGACAAGAAGUCACACGUUAACCUCCUUCCCCUCGAUUCCUCCCGACACUGUGGCCCAACCUCAUGGCCUAGUUUGUCAAGGUGUGAUGCGUGUCGCUCGGUAGAAGGUGGCAGUAGUAGUGGUCGUUGCCUCUCCUGGAAGAUUGGGUGCUGUGUUUACAGAGCACAUCCUUAGUUUUCCUUCUAGCUGCUGAAUCGUUUGACCUCCUCUGAAAGGGCAAGAUUUGAGUUGUUGACUAGAUCGUGUUGUCGAGGCUCUCGCCGCCUCUUUUAAACUAUGUCGAAGGAAAGCAUCUCCUGCAGCGGGACAAAGAGUUAAAGCAGAGUAUAGUCCUGCUUCUGUACUGAUUAACUGUUUAAAGCAUUGAUACCUCAUAGGAUAUUAUGGAACGACAUUUGUAGUUUGUUGUAGCAGAUCGUGUUUUGGUUCCAUACCAGGGUUAGAGUUCAGCCUCAGCAUUCCUUCCGUGGUCAUUCUCAUAUUUCGUGGAAUGCUCAAGCUCAUGUUACCUUCGUAUGUUUGACUGAACCAAAGAUGCCAGCGGCCAUGCCCAAAUGCUGCUCUUCAGGCCUGGCUUCCUGUCCUUCCAAAAAACACCCCUGCAAUUGACAAAAUGUUCUUUGUCUUUUUAUUUGUGCGAUUUCUCAACUGUCUUGACUUAUGAAGCAACCCGAUUUUUUUCAAUGAAUUUUCAUUGAGUCUAUCUCUGAAGCCGUACAUGGCAUCAAGGAUGGUAAAAAUGGUUGCAAAUUGUUGUGACUUGUUUUGUUUAUUAUUAUUAUUAUUAUUAUUAUUAUUAUUAUUAUUAUUAUUAUUAUUAUUAUUGCUAUAAUUUCAAAAAUGAAAAUCCCAUGGUGUGCCUCCUAGCUUUAUGGGUUUAUAAAUGUUUUUUCCCUAAAGACCAGCAGUUAUACUUUGUAUAAAAGAUGGAUUUUUCCUUAUUUUUUAUGCCAUUAAAGAUGAAAAAGCCUGUUUUCUUUACUCUGGACCCAGUAGCUGCACUGGUAUACAAUCGCACUGAUACAAGAGUUAAAAAAAAAGAAUAAGUGAAUCAAUAAUAAUAAUGAUAAUGACAAAUGAAAUAAGAACUACAAUAAACUUGUGUUUGAAACUUUUAUUAUAAAAGCUAUUAAAAAAGAAAAUAAAAAAGAAAAUGACUGUUUUUGUACAUCAAAAUAAAUUCUUUUCAAAAGAAUAUUUUGGAUCUAGUUUCAAAAUUAUUUUAGUGGUUUUCUAUGUUCUAAAUUUUUGAGACACUGACUUCUAAGACGUGUCACUGUACAAAAUGACUUUUUUCUGUUGCAGUGGCCUGAUGGGCUGGGAGGGUUACCUGGUGUAACUCCUCAUACCAACUUUUGUUUCUUUUCCUUUGGAUCUUUUGUUUUUCUUCUGCUUUAGUAACUUGAAAAAUGUUGAUGGAAUAAUAUGAACUGGGAACUUUAAAUCCAUCCCCCUGUAGAGCUAGACCCUUCCUCCUUUCCUAUUGAAUUGCUGUUAGUGUGACGAGACUUGAAAUGGGCAUUUAUUAUGAUAGUAUGACUCCAAAAAAAAAAAAAAAUCACAAAAAAUAUACACAAAAAAAAAAAAUAAAAGAAAAAAAGCAAAAAAUUGCAAAAGAAAAGUGCGGGGAGGGUUGAAAGAAUAUAUAUAGAUGGGUUAUCUGAGUAUGUAAGCAAUGGCUGUGAAGAUAAUGUAGUUUUAAACAUUGUUAUUACCUUUUAAAAUCAUUUAUUCAAUAAAAAAUACAAAAUCAACUGAAAAGACAACACGUGUCCUUCUAUUGUCUUCCACAUCCACAGCGGAGGCUUUCUUCAGUAAAGUCAAUGAUUCAUGCUGGAUAUAAAUACUAUAUUGUCUUUUCAACAUGAUGUAUGAGUGUGUCACAUGUCUUUCCAGGUGAUAGAGCUGCCAUAGUAACAGAUUUCAUCCAGGAAGAGCAAGAUUUCAGUUCCACUCUCUGGCCUCCAAUAAUAGAGCAGGACUGAAUGUUUGGAGUAACUCAACUGAUCUCUGCCAGUGCUCUGGUCUGCUUUUUUCAAC